Molecule: ribosomal RNA, 464 nt
Filed under: uncultured bacterium
Lineage: Bacteria
Description: partial 16S ribosomal RNA
Rfam family: Bacterial small subunit ribosomal RNA
Source: RNAcentral
CUACGGGUUGCUCCAGUGGGGAAUAUUGCACAAUGGGCGCAAGCCUGUUGCAGCCAUGCCGCGUGUAUGAAGAAGGCCUUCGGGUUGUAAAGUACUUUCAGCGGGGAGGAAGGGAGUAAAGUUAAUACCUUUGCUCAUUGACGUUACCCGCAGAAGAAGCACCGGCUAACUCCGUGCCAGCAGCCGCGGUAAUACGGAGGGUGCAAGCGUUAAUCGGAAUUACUGGGCGUAAAGCGCACGCAGGCGGUUUGUUAAGUCAGAUGUGAAAUCCCCGGGCUCAACCUGGGAACUGCAUCUGAUACUGGCAAGCUUGAGUCUCGUAGAGGGGGGUAGAAUUCCAGGUGUAGCGGUGAAAUGCGUAGAGAUCUGGAGGAAUACCGGUGGCGAAGGCGGCCCCCUGGACGAAGACUGACGCUCAGGUGCGAAAGCGUGGUGAGCAAACAGGAUUAGAUACCCGUGUAGUC